CCUACGGGCGGCAGCAGUAGGGAAUCUUCCACAAUGGGCGAAAGCCUGAUGGAGCAACGCCGCGUGGGUGAAGAAGGUCUUCGGAUCGUAAAACCCUGUUGUUAGAGAAGAAAGUGCGUGAGAGUAACUGUUCACGGUUCGACGGUAACUAACCAGAAAGCCACGGCUGACUACGUGCCAGCAGCCGCGGUAAUACGUAGGGGGCAAGCGUUAUCCGGAUUUAUUGGGCGUAAAGGGAACGCAGGCGGUCUUUUACGUCGGAUGUGAAAGCCUUCGGCUUAACCGGAGUAGGGCAUUGGAAACUGGAAGACUUGAGUGCAGAAGAGGAGGGGAGAACUCCAGGUGUAGCGGUGAAAUGCGUAGAUAUAUGGAAGAACACCAGUGGCGAAGGCGGCUCUCUGGUCUGUAACUGACGCUGAGGUUCGAAAGCGUGGGUAGCAAACAGGAUUAGAUACCCCAGUAGUC
RNAcentral lists this ribosomal RNA (465 nucleotides) under uncultured bacterium. Its description in RNAcentral is "partial 16S ribosomal RNA". It matches the Rfam family "Bacterial small subunit ribosomal RNA", at positions 338 to 795 of the family's 1533-position model. The record is from RNAcentral.